Molecule: ribosomal RNA, 470 nt
Filed under: Staphylococcus aureus
Lineage: Bacteria; Bacillati; Bacillota; Bacilli; Caryophanales; Staphylococcaceae
Description: bacterial SSU rRNA
Rfam family: Bacterial small subunit ribosomal RNA
Source: RNAcentral
AGAUGUUGGGUUAAGUCCCGCAACGAGCGCAACCCUUAAGCUUAGUUGCCAUCAUUAAGUUGGGCACUCUAAGUUGACUGCCGGUGACAAACCGGAGGAAGGUGGGGAUGACGUCAAAUCAUCAUGCCCCUUAUGAUUUGGGCUACACACGUGCUACAAUGGACAAUACAAAGGGCAGCGAAACCGCGAGGUCAAGCAAAUCCCAUAAAGUUGUUCUCAGUUCGGAUUGUAGUCUGCAACUCGACUACAUGAAGCUGGAAUCGCUAGUAAUCGUAGAUCAGCAUGCUACGGUGAAUACGUUCCCGGGUCUUGUACACACCGCCCGUCACACCACGAGAGUUUGUAACACCCGAAGCCGGUGGAGUAACCUUUUAGGAGCUAGCCGUCGAAGGUGGGACAAAUGAUUGGGGUGAAGUCGUAACAAGGUAGCCGUAUCGGAAGGUGCGGCUGGAUCACCUCCUUUCUAAGGA